GUUUGAUCCUGGCUCAGGACGAACGCUGGCGGCGUGCUUAACACAUGCAAGUCGAACGGUAAGGCCCUUCGGGGUACACGAGUGGCGAACGGGUGAGUAACGCGUGAGUAACCUGCCCUUCACUCUGGGAUAACAGUUGGAAACGGCUGCUAAUACCGGAUAUUCAGCUCCUGCCGCAUGGUGGGGGUUGGAAAGUUUUGGUGGUGGAGGAUGGGCUCGCGUCCUAUCAGCUUGUUGGUGGGGUGAUGGCCUACCAAGGCGUCGACGGGUAGCCGGCCUGAGAGGGCGACCGGCCACAUUGGGACUGAGAUACGGCCCAAGCUCCUACGGGAGGCAGCAGUGGGGAAUAUUGCACAAUGGGCGGAAGCCUGAUGCAGCAACGCCGCGUGCGGGAUGACGGCCUUCGGGUUGCAAACCGCUUUCAGCAGGGACGAAGCGCAAGUGACGGUACCUGCAGAAGAAGCACCGGCUAACUACGUGCCAGCAGCCGCGGUGAUACGUAGGGUGCGAGCGUUGUCCGGAUUUAUUGGGCGUAAAGAGCUUGUAGGCGGUUGGUUGCGUCGAAAGUGCAAACUCAGGGCUUAACUCUGAGCCUGCUUUCGAUACGGGCUGACUGGAGGAAGGUAGGGGAGAAUGGAAUUCCCGGUGGAGCGGUGGAAUGCGCAGAUAUCGGGAGGAACACCAGUGGCGAAGCGGUUCUCUGGACCUUNNCUGACGCUGAGAAGCGAAAGCGUGGGGAGCAAACAGGCUUAGAUACCCUGGUAGUCCACGCUGUAAACGGUGGGUACUAGGUGUGGGGGACAUUCCACGUUCUCUGUGCCGUAGCUAACGCAUUAAGUACCCCGCCUGGGGAGUACGGCCGCAAGGCUAAAACUCAAAGGAAUUGACGGGGCCCCGCACAAGCGGCGGAGCAUGCGGAUUAAUUCGAUGCAACGCGAAGAACCUUACCUGGGUUUGACAUAUAUCGGAAACGUUCAGAGAUGGGCGCCCCGUAAGGUCGGUAUACAGGUGGUGCAUGGCUGUCGUCAGCUCGUGUCGUGAGAUGUUGGGUUAAGUCCCGCAACGAGCGCAACCCUCGUCCAAUGUUGCCAGCGGGUUAUGCCGGGGACUCAUUGGAGACCGCCGGGGUCAACUCGGAGGAAGGUGGGGAUGACGUCAAGUCAUCAUGCCCCUUAUGUCCAGGGCUUCACGCAUGCUACAAUGGCCGGUACAAAGAGUUGCGAGCCUGUGAGGGUGAGCGAAUCUCAAAAAGCCGGUCUCAGUUCGGAUUGGGGUCUGCAACUCGACCCCAUGAAGUCGGAGUCGCUAGUAAUCGCAGAUCAGCAACGCUGCGGUGAAUACGUUCCCGGGGCUUGUACACACCGCCCGUCAAGUCAUGAAAGUCGGUAACACCCGAAGCCGGUGGCCUAACCCGUUUGGGGGGGAGCUGUCGAAGGUGGGACUGGUAAUUAGGACUAAGUCGUAACAAGGUAGCCG
RNAcentral lists this ribosomal RNA (1476 nucleotides) under uncultured bacterium. RNAcentral's name for it is "bacterial SSU rRNA". It matches the Rfam family "Bacterial small subunit ribosomal RNA". The record is from RNAcentral.